RNAcentral lists this non-coding RNA (78 nucleotides) under Streptomyces roseus. The record is from RNAcentral. Lineage: Bacteria; Bacillati; Actinomycetota; Actinomycetes; Kitasatosporales; Streptomycetaceae.
GCUUUGCUACGGUGGUGGGGAACCCCGACGAGACGCGCCGUACCGGGUAGCCGUGGCUGGACGACAAGACGACGCCCC